AUUGAACGCCGGCGGCAGGCCUAACACAUGCAAGUCGAACGGUAACAGGAAACAGCUUGCUGUUUCGCUGACGAGUGGCGGACGGGUGAGUAAUGUCUGGGAAACUGCCUGAUGGAGGGGGAUAACUACUGGAAACGGUAGCUAAUACCGCAUAACGUCGCAAGACCAAAGAGGGGGACCUUCGGGCCUCUUGCCAUCGGAUGUGCCCAGAUGGGAUUAGCUAGUAGGUGGGGUAACGGCUCACCUAGGCGACGAUCCCUAGCUGGUCUGAGAGGAUGACCAGCCACACUGGAACUGAGACACGGUCCAGACUCCUACGGGAGGCAGCGGUGGGGAAUAUUGCACAAUGGGCGCAAGCCUGAUGCAGCAAUGCCGCGUGUAUGAAGAAGGCCUUCGGGUUGUAAAGUACUUUCAGCGGGGAGGAAGGGAGUAAAGUUAAUACCUUUGCUCAUUGACGUUACCCGCAGAAGAAGCACCGGCUAACUCCGUGCCAGCCGCCGCGGUAA
This 506-nucleotide ribosomal RNA is filed under the name uncultured bacterium. Its description in RNAcentral is "partial 16S ribosomal RNA". It matches the Rfam family "Bacterial small subunit ribosomal RNA", at positions 30 to 523 of the family's 1533-position model. The record is from RNAcentral.